Non-coding RNA from Anas platyrhynchos (mallard), 7379 nucleotides. The record is from RefSeq and is a predicted model, not a curated record. Lineage: Eukaryota; Metazoa; Chordata; Aves; Anseriformes; Anatidae.
GGGCUGUGGGUCGGGCCCUGAGCUGAGCACACAGCUGCAGGCUUGGGUUUUCCAGGAGUGCCCCGAGGGUGGGACGGGCGCUGUGGGGCUGGGUGCUGCCUCCAGGAGGCUUGUGAGAUCCCAGCAUGGCUAAAGGUGAGGCUGGAGAGGGACACAGCGGCUUUUAUAACCCCUAACACGCCAUGCAUGUAACUGAGGCGCCUGGAGCAUUCCCACCACCAUCAGCAGGAUUUUUAUCUGGCUGCAGGAGAGGGAGCUGGGCAAGGCCCUUGUCUUACCAAAUAAUCCUGCAAGAGGGGAGGAUGCAAGAAUUAAUUAAAUUAAGUCUUAUUUAAUACUUGGCUUAGAGUUAGCACGAUAAUAAAAGAGGAGAAAAUGUUUCCUUGUUGUAACACGGUACAGCGUUAAUUAAAAAAAAAGCCUGACAUGGUUGUGAUGCCAAGCUCCACGCAUAUCCAGCUGCUGUGCUCUACGUCUCCCAGAGGGCUGAGGCCGUCCUUUAACACAGGACUAACUCCGUGAGUGAAAGCAGCAGCGAGGGCUGAGGGGGGUCAAACGUGAGAGGAGGCACAGCUGCUCUGUGGUAGGGGGCAGGAGAAAAGAAAACACAACCCCGUGCUCCUUCAGGCCUCCUCCUGCAAGAAGUGGUGCUGCACCCACAGGGCUUUGUGUCAGAAAUGUCAGGAAAAAUCUUAGGUUAUAUCUGUCUUCAGACCGCCUUGAUAAAAUUGAAACAUGCCUUUAAAAUAUUCUGGUUUCAUUAAAUAUGCUUUUUUUUUUCUUUCUUUUUUUUUUUUUUUUUUUUUUCCCAUGGAGAGCUGCUGGCUCGGAAAGAAUUCAGGAAAUUCUUGUGAUAACAAUUCCAAAACAAAUUAGGCUUCACCAGCAGUCAUUUGAAGAUGACAUUUUGGGAAAUGAGUAAGAGACAGAGGUAUAAAGCUCACCAAAUUUCAGGAUUCUUCUGAAAUUUCACAUAGGAAAAUAAGUUACACAAGCUGAACUGGAGCAAAGCCAAAUAUUUUCAGUUUCUAUAAGCUGGAGUUUUGGAAAAUAAAAAACAACUCUACUUUUUAGGAUUUUUGAGGAAGAAUUUGGGUAUUUCUUUAACAUAUUUGAGGAUUUCUUUAACACAUAGGGAUGUUUUGCCACUGCGGUACUUCACAUCAUACCUGUGGAGGCAGCGUGCCAUGUGCCUUGUAACUACCAACACAUCGUGACAUGACAUAGGGGUUUAAACUAUUUUUUUUUUAUUAUUUUUUUUAAAUUAAGUGCAGUUUGUGCUUGAUACUGAUUAAACGGCCUUCCCUUUGUGUCUAGAUCAAAGUGUCUCUUGUUUGUGUUGUAAGGAAAAGGUCUGACAGCUUUGUCGGGCACCAACAGGAGACACUUUGAUCUAGACACAAAAGGAAGAUGUCUCAAAUGGUUCCAGAUAACAGCCGCUCUUUGUGAUUGUAAUGGAAAAUAAAGUGAGAAUAUUUCAACUAUUAUUCCUGUCAUAAUAUGACAUGAUACAAUAACUACUGCUGACAUGUCGUUUAAUAGGUAAAAAUAGCGUUGUAAGAAGGAAACUCCGUCUAAUAAGAAUAACUUUUUUUUUUUUUUAAUGGAAAACCCUUAAUUUGUGAAGCGGAAGUUCUCAUCAACACACGCGUUUGCCCUGAAGGCUGAAUCCUGUUGCGUGCACCUUUGGGAUGAAAAAUGCAAAGUUUGGCCAACGCCUUGGAGAGGGGGCUCUGGCUGGCUGGGAGUGCGGCCGCGCUGCUCUCACCUCCGUGCGGUGGGGACAGCGCGGGGACUUUGUCACCGCUGGGCCUCAGAGGAAGCUGCUGGUGAUCACGGAGGGUCACGAAGCCUCCCCGCUGCUGUCACGCUCCAGGACCGAAGCCCAGCAGCGGCUGGGGGAGCACGAGCCCCGUCCCCAGCAGCCCAGAGCUUGGCUGAGACCUCCAGCGCUGCGGCAGGCUGUCAGGCCAGCCCCAGCCCCAGCCCCAGCCCCAGGUGCUCUGGCGAGGAGCAGCACACAAAAGUUUAAUUGUUCCGAGUAUGCAAAUUGUCUCCUCAAACAGGCGUUUGGCAACCCUGGCGGUGUUCUGCACGCCGGGGGGUGUAGCCAGGAACUAAAAUAAGUCCGUCUGUAGGAGGAACGGGAGGUGGGAGAUCUUUUUAUAUUACUCCCCUUGCUAUAUUAAGAGCCACCGUUCCUUUCCUGGCUUGAGAAACAGCUCUUCCUGCUCUUCCCCGGCUUGCAGCAGUCUCCCCUGGUUAAACCACUCAGAAACUGGGAUUUGGAGACUGAAUUCGGGGCCCUCCUGCCUGGAAAGCUCCCGAGAGGCGAGGACUUCACUCACGGGAGAACUUUCCUUGGGAAGGAUGGAGGAGGAGGAUGAACGAUGAAGCCAAGAUCAGGAUGAGCACAGCACAGCCCUGCCUGUGAGCCCUGCAUGCCCUAGAGCUGCAGGUGUCCUUUCCUGUACCAGCUUCUUGAGGUCAUGGCUGAGCUCGCUGGCCCUGAAGACCAGAAACCUCACCUGGAGAACCCUCUGCAAUGAAGUGCACGAGCUCUGCAGGUCCUCCUUCCUCCUGAAGCUCCUUCUGGCUCCACUGGCAGCCUCGCCAGGUAGCCAGCAAUGUUUGGCACGGUGGCAGGAACCCUGGAGAUCACCUGUGGUGUUAAUGCCCCUGCUGUAAGGGGAGAGAAGAACCACAGCAUCUGGGAUUUCUGCUCGCCUUUCUCUCCGAUUAACGUAGCCCCACUGCCUUCACAUCUUCUGCCUACUUUGGUGUCCUCUCCGUUCUGCAGGGCGAUGUGUGGAGAGAGAAGGAACCUCUCCGGGUCCUGCCAAGCGGAGGCGGACGUGCGCAGCAUCGGCAGCGGGUGACUCACGGGCUUUUCAACCUCCUGCUCUUCCCGAGGCAGCUGCUGAAGCACUUGACCACUGGCGCCACUUUCUCGCCUCGGCUCAAGUAUUGAAACAAGUACAUCGUCAUUUGUGGCUUUUUGUUUUUGUGUACGUUUUUUUUUUCCCACCUCCAGAUGAACAAAAAAAGACAUGUUCCCCUUGCUGUGUGUCAGGCCUCCUGGGAUGCCUUAGCAUAUCCAAAAAUGCCGUAAAGCCAUCCAGAUGCUUCCCAGACGCAAGACACCGUGUUCACACUGCCUCGACUUUCGUACCACAGCCCCUGUUUUACCCGGGGUGCUCCCUCCCCUGUGCCACCGGGACACCGGGGAUUUGCGCUGUGUUGGGGGUUUAGGGCAGCCUCCCUGCUGCCCUCACGCUAAUCUUGGAGUCUGCUCACGGGGCCAGGGCAGUCGGCCCCGAUGUGUGUGUCCCUGGUGGCUUAACGUGAGUGAAGGGGACCUCAAAGCCCAGCAUUGCGUGGAGGAGACACUGCCACAGAGCUCGCCAGCGGGCUCUGGCUUGCAGCUGCUUUCAAUAAUUCCCAUUUCCUGUGUGGCAGCAUUCAUUUCCUUCCAGAUCUCACUUGCAACAUUUGCUCCCCCAGGUUUUGUCAGAGAUGACUUUCCUCACAGGAGAAGAGUCCAUUUUUUGUUUUAUUUGCCCUCUGCACAGUUGCUCUGAGUGAAGAACUUCAACUAUCCCACUGCCUUCAUCUUCUAUAGCCUCUUGGCACCUUCAAGGAGAGGACUAAAGGCCUUUUUUUUUUUUUUUUUACAAGCGAUUUCAUAAAGGCAUCACAUGGUCUUUAACAAGCCGGCACAACCCUCUGCAUGCACGCCAGCCUAGGACAUCCCCUUUUGCCCAAGGAGAGAUGGAGAACCUGCUGCCAACCCCUGCCCACCCGGCUUUGGGAUAACGUGUCGCAGGCUGCCAGGACCCGCUCCAUCCACCGCAGCUCCGACCUGGACACCUCUGGUAGCUGAAGGUUAAGUGGUUCAAGAUCCAGCUGGCUGGCUUUAUAAACCAACCCUGAACCAGGCUUGCAAAGGUUGCACCUGUAACUCUGGCGGCACAGCUGCCUCUUACCCAUGCCCUUGAGCCGCACUGGGCAGGAGGUGAGAGAGGCGCAGGGAAGCCAGCCUCUUCCUGCUGCAGUCAGGCUGCAGCCAGCCUGCUCUGCCACGGCUCGUUUCAAAGUGCCCGGUGCUUGACCGAGGAGCUGGGUGACAGCUCCUGGGCACGCUGCUCCCGCCCCUGAUCUCCCACGCGAUGCCCAUCUGGUUUUUAAGACACAGGUCUCAGCGUGCCAAUGAGUGGCCCUGAAAAUUACAAGGCAGAUAAGCAAGCAAGAAAGCACAGCUGUAACACUAUCCGAGGUGCUGGUUUUUUUGUCCUCCCAGUAAUGUUGAGAAGGCGACAUUUGAUCCGGCUGGAUACCACCAGUUCAGGGACACAACGAAUACUAGUGGCCUUUUUUGUUUUGUUUUGUUUUGUUUUUUUGAAACUACCGAUACCUGUGAAGAAAAGAUCCAAUCCUAGUGGUUGUCUCUGCCAAAAUAACCAUGCCAGCCGAUUCUAAACAGUUUAAUGCCACUCGGCUGGGGUGCAGGGGAGGCCCAGAGCUGAGCCAAAUAUUUGGAAGAUGAGCAGCAGCAUUCCAGUGCAUGCAUCCCUCUGCUUAUCCUGGAUACAGUGUAGCCAGGCUGAGGGCAUAAUCUGCAUAUUACGGAUGUUUGCAGAAGAUUAUCACUCACUAGCAUGUGAACUCUGAUUGAUUAUUUCCAGUUCUAGCAAUCAUUAACAACGACUAGUAGUCUAAGAACAACUCUUUAUUUCAAAGGGUAGGAUUUAUCCGGCUUAGCAUCGAGCCACGCUGCGUAGUUGUCACGUUUAUCUCUUCAAUCAAACGGCAGUACAUCCUUCUGCUUGUGCUAUUCAGCUCCGAAUUUCACCUUUCAUACUAAUAAAAUAUGUUGACACAUCGAGCAAUGUAACUGAUAGGUAAAGCAGAACAGGAUGAGUCACUGUUUUUAAACUUUUAUGUUAGCACGUGCUUUCUUUACGAGAGUAUAUCAAUCAAAAGACCAAGAGAUACAAAUUCAGAGAGAGGGAACAAGAGGAAAAGGUUGUGGAAAUACACAAGGUGCAAUAAACUGAAGCUGAACAGCACCAGAAUACAUGUAAUGAAAGUCCAGGAAAUAAACCAAAUGUAACUUUUUGACUAAACAUGAUUGCGACAGAGAAAUAAUUGUAAGUAAUACACGGCCUUCUUCAUCCUGAGAGCUUUCCCAAACCGUCUUUCUGUUCAUCUCCAGUGCUAACACUCCUAGGAUGCCACGGGGCUGUGUAACACUGGAAGAGCUUUGCCCUGUUGUGAGAUUUUGUGAUUCUGCUGCAGACAAGGUGCAGUCAGUCCGAACUGGGGAGGAAGCAGAAAGGUGGCUGGCUGGCUGAUGUCUUCCUCACUACAGGUACGCUGAUGAUUGCACACCUUUGGCCCAAAAGGCACCGUUCAUUUUUGCACAUAUUCUCCUAAAGUCCUCUUUUAGCUGCAGCAUCUUCCCAAGAUAGCCUGGCGCUGGUCUCAUUGCCCAGGUGUCCGUUUGUUCUCCUGACCUGGUUUUGGCAGAGCUGAUCCUCAGGUGUGUAAUGAGUCUCGUCUAAAGCAGUGUAUCUAGCAAAGCGUCUGAAGGUAAAAAAUAGUAUUGUGUGGGCUCCUGGUAGGCUCUCAAAUUAGGCCCGUGAUGUCUUGGAUGACUGCUGUGGGGGAUUAUAAGGUAAUUUUGUGUGCAAGGACAUGACAGAAUUAGGGGUGCUCUGGUCAUUCCAGAAUUGCUUCCAUUUCCUCCUGAGAUCGAUGCAGCAAUAUCAUCCCGACAGACGAGUGGCCUGGCUCUGUGCUUUCUCACAAGGACAUCUCACUGCCUGCAGCUCUUUGUUGAUCGAGCCGCUCGAUGAAACUUUAUCUAAAUAUUCCAAAUAUCCAAGCACUUGCUCAUCGUUUAAAAAUUGCCUGUGACAGGAAGGCUGUGAAGCCUGUGGUCCGACAACAUCCCUUUCCUGUGGUGCAAGGCCAAGUGUACAGAGGGAAGCGAAAUUAUCAAAAUCUCUCGGCUGCUGCCCUUCCUUUGAGCUGCCCAAUGCCACGUCUCACCCAAGGCUCCUCAGAAGAUGACUCACAGAUUUGUGGUGUGAAAGUCCUCUCCCCCAAAGAGGAGAAUUCCCAUUCACCAGUUCUGAGCCCUGACAGCGCGCCCCAGUUAAAUCGCUGCCCGAGGGGAAGGGGCUCGGGCACGUGUGUGGGAACGAGCGCCUUUGCCACCAGAGAUAACGUCAUGCCAGAAACGCUCCGAAUUUCAGCAGCGCAACCCAGACAGGCGAGGCAGAAGCCCACGUAAUUGGGUCUAAUACUGCUAUGGAAACUAUGCCGAGGGCUAAAAAUAUGCCUUAAAAAGCAGAGCCUUUUCUCGUGCGUUCUUCCACACUGUGUAUGAAAAGAUGGAGGGUUGUGAAGCAGGAAAGGAUGACGUGAAGAUGCUCUGUGACAGCAGUGAGCUCUAGAGAAGCACAAUUCUCCUGCUUUCACAAAUGUUUCAAAUGCACCGAAAUUUACUUGGGAAAAUUUUGGAUGUUUGUCUUCUCGUGAGUUAGGCUGAACACACAUGCAUUUAACCACUAAACUGGCUACUUGCAAAAACUGCUGCUUAAACCAGGCUGCUUUAUAGCCUUGAUUAUUCCUUCCAUCCUUCUUUUUUUUUUUUUUUGCUUUUUAAUCUCUGAAGCCAGUUUCCCAAUCCCGAAGUCCCCACUGGCCUACUGUUGUGGAACUGUUCAAAAGUCCUUGUCUAAACAUUAAACACCCUUGGAGCGUGGUGGUACACGGUGUGCAGCCAUGUGGUGCGGUUGCUGGUUUCGGCUUGCUAGCACAAGGUUGGUAGCUGAGGACCAGGAGCAGGAGGAGAAGGUCCAGGUUUGCUCCCUCUCCCCGGCCUGCUCUGCUAUCCAGAACUGAGCUGCAGUUUGGCACGGCUCGCCCGAGUUAAGCAUUAAGUAUAACUGUGGGUUGAAUGCAUGGGGUUUGUAACAUUAUGGUAGGUGUAUCAUAGGGCAAACAGGAUGCAGGGUGUUGGAGGCAUUGGGAUAUUUCUCUUGUAGGUAAGCUGUUGGCCUCUGAAGGUGAAUCCUCUGACGUGGAAAGAGUUUUGCACCUGAAGAGUGCUAUAACCAGUAAUGUGCGUGAGGAAUUCAGCUGCUGUCUCGCUGGUGAUGCUGAAAGGAAACAGAUUAACAAACAGAGUAAUGGCAAAAAAAAUAAAAUGUGGCCAACAGGCUGAACAAUUAAAAACAUAAUUCUGAAAUUGCAAUGCAAUUUGUCCGUGUAGCUGCGAGGAGGUUGUGUCCCCAGUUCCUCUGGUAGAGAUACAGCUGACACAUGGAUGUGGGAGUAAAGAAAUAAGGCUACCUGUCAGUCACGUUUUA